RNAcentral lists this long non-coding RNA (490 nucleotides) under Daphnia pulex (common water flea). RNAcentral's name for it is "uncharacterized LOC124192406, transcript variant X2". The record is from RNAcentral. Lineage: Eukaryota; Metazoa; Arthropoda; Branchiopoda; Diplostraca; Daphniidae.
UGUCAUUUUAGGAACUAUCAUACCAUUUGAACUAGCAGAGCAUGAAGACCAUUUUCUGUCACAGGAAUGAGAUCAAGUUCAAGCUCCAGGACCGCAAACUGUUGAAGUGUGCUAAACUGCUGUAAAGAGAGAGACUUAUCAUCGCCCAAUCAAGGUGACGUGUCCGUCUGAUAUUGGAGAGAUAGGUUCUAUUGGUCCUCAACGACUGCGAAGGGCAAUGUGGAUUUAAUUAUGAAAUGGAAGAUUCAUUCACUGAAGAAACGGAGUCAUUUGGGAUAAAGUAAGUUUUAAGCCAUAAUCAUUUAGUAUUCAUUUUUAUAUUGGUUUUUGUAGAACCAUUCCAAUCCCCAGCAACGUCAACCUGCAGAAGGAAUGGCCAGUUUGCAUUUUCUUUACAUUCGAAGGUCACGGAGAUCAUUACGUAGAACGUGCCAGUCAGUGGAGUAGAGGUUGGACCCAUCCCCAGCAACGUCUACCUGCAGAAGGAAAG